UUUAUAAUGCCACCGGGUAUUAUGCAUGCAUUAAAGCAUUGUUACUACAUCAUUAGGUCUUUGAAGAUGUCGUAAGGGAUGUUUUUUUUUAU
Molecule: non-coding RNA, 92 nt
Filed under: unclassified sequences
Source: RNAcentral